UUUCUGGCCGAGUUGUCUAUGUUUGCUCCUCACUGCUUGCUCUACUACUGAUUGUUCUUUGCCUGGUGUUGAAAUGGUGGACAACUCCACUUAGUUCUAGAGACCCUGUGUGGGUCACAGUGAUUGUGCUGAUCCUGGGGCUCAUUCUUGGAAUUGUUGGAGUUAUCCGGAAACAGCCACAGAGCAACACCCCCCUUCACUUUAAGGUGCCUGGUCUGCCUCUGCUCCCACUGGUGAGCAUCUUUGUGAAUGUUUACCUGAUGAUGCAAAUGACAGCUGGCACUUG
Microtus ochrogaster (prairie vole) is the source of this 286-nucleotide long non-coding RNA. RefSeq lists it as uncharacterized. The record is from RefSeq and is a predicted model, not a curated record. The transcript has 3 exons. NCBI's taxonomy places the organism in Eukaryota, Metazoa, Chordata, Mammalia, Rodentia, Cricetidae.